AAGCCUUCCUAGUUGACAUAGGGUCAAGUAAAGACAGAAUGUCAGGACCUGCAGACACAGCAGAGCAACUGGGAAACAAUACCUUAAAAACAAACAAAGAAAAAUAUUUAAAAGGAAUAUGCAAGAAUUUGGGGACACUCAUGAGGCCCAAAUUUAUGAGUUACCUGAGAAGACUGUGGGGUGGAAGAAAAUGAAUGCGGUAUCCAGAGAAGACCCAUGGUUGCAAAGCUUGACCAGCUCUCAAAUGCCAUCAUCUGUUGAAUAUUCCCAGGAAUUGGUCCAUGCGUUCCCUGAAAACCCUCAAGAUCUGAUAAUGCUCACCAGACCCGUCCUCACAGACACUCACGAGAUAUGCUCCACUAAUUUCCCAGGUAUUUCCUAAUCUUAGCACGUUGACAAUCAAGGCUGAGCAUCCCAACAGCACAAAGUUGACCAAGGAGCACGGGAAAAGUUGCACAGCAUCGCUACUCAUCCUGAGGAUUAAAGUGAAAACACCACGAGGAAAGAUUCCUGGUUUGUCGCUUUGCUUGAACGAGCCUGGAAGUUUGCAGCUCAUCCUCACCCAGACACCCUGGUGAACCAACUAGAAACCUGACAGUUCUUCUAGGCUGUGCAAGAAAGGUGAGCACACACAGGAGGAAAUACAUAGAGAGACUGGAGUUCAGCGUUGAAGUCAGCAGGUCACAGGCACCCUGGGUCCUUGUCACACUUGCCUGACCCUGACCCCGCCGGCACAAGAGGGUCUGGUUCUGCGGUUCCUUUACUCGCAGCAAUUGAGUCUGGUUCCCAAGAAGACGCCCCACGCAGGACGAGGAGAGCGAGCGGGUUGGAAGGAAUCCACGGCCGGAGGUGCGGGAGUGUUUCCCGGGGUGACCAGCAGGGGGCGCGGGGCGGGAAAGGCCUUCGGGGCUCCUGAAGUUGGGGUUCCCGGGAAUGAGGGGAGUGUGUGAGCCGGGCGGGCUGAGAGCAGGUUAGAGCCAGGCUGACAGCGGUUGGGGAGAAGGCGACCUGGGCGUGGUAGGCGGUUUUCACUCUACACUCCGCCCACAGUGUUGGGAGGGAGAUGACGUCAUCGUAACUCAGCGCUAACUAAUGGUUUGAUGAGUCUGACUCCCGCCGGCUCUGGUGGCGCAGGCCGGAAGGAUUUGCUGAAGGAGGCAGAGGCAGGUGGAUCUGGAGUUCGAGGCCAGCCAGGACUACACAUUUUUUUUUCUUGUCCUCCAACAAAACAUCCACAACUACACACUACACUAAAAUUCCUACACCCACAAAGCCUCUCCGCACUCUACUCUCAACCUCACGUUGUUCGCGACCGACACCCAACCGACACCAUCUUUUCUAGACGCACAGGCGCCUGCUCCACCGCGCUGCUCACAACAAGCUUUUGCUCACACACCGACUCACACGCUCCACCUCCGCGC
RNAcentral lists this long non-coding RNA (1421 nucleotides) under Cricetulus griseus (Chinese hamster). RNAcentral's name for it is "lncRNA (ENSCGRG00015031707.1)". The record is from RNAcentral. Lineage: Eukaryota; Metazoa; Chordata; Mammalia; Rodentia; Cricetidae.